ACAUGACUGCGAGUUCGUGGAGUGGGAUGCCUUGGGAUGGGCUGGGACGUCUCCAUCUGAGCAAGGAGAGGUCUAAUCUAUGUUGUGGGAAGAGGAUCUCCUCAAUAGGGCAGACCCAGUGAGGCUGUUGAGGUGUUUGGAGGGGGUCUGGAGAGCUGAGGACCGAGGGCAGGGGGAGGCGUAGCAAUUGAGCGGAGACGUCAGACGACCUUCCUCAGCAGAGAUGACUUGAUGAAUCCUCUUCAGUGCCUACAGCUUAUUCCAGGGCUUUACUGAGGAUCUGGCCAACACAUGUAGCCUUACUCCAGGGCAUGGCUCUUGAAGAAACUAGAAGAUGGACACAGCAUGUUUUUCAUCUAGUGACUGUAAGACCAAACAGCCCAAAUCCCAGCCUGCAGCCGUGUUGUGGAGAUAACGCCUGUGCCACAGGGGAGAAUAAGAGCUCCCCUCGAGAUCCCACAGCCUCGGAUCCAGCAGCGGGACCAGGGGCAGGAACAUAUCCCAGGGAGUGGAAAAGGGACUUUUCAAGCCUGGGAGUUCGUUCUUGCAGUUGGCUACCACCUGCCCAGACUUGCCAUCUGAUGUCUCCAAGUGUCUCCAGGAGGGUCCUGACCUGCUUCUGCAAUGGCCCCGGAGAGGAGGCAGCUUUGGCUCAUGAACACGGAGGGUUUCUGCAUCGCUUCGAGUCACGCUGGUCCAGCCGUGGGGAGGGAACCAGGGCAACGCAGGGAGCCAGGGGAUCAUCCCACAUCACUCCUGUACGUUGUCUUUGGUGCCCUAAAUACCCUGGAGCAGGACCGCAGUGCUUAGGCAGAGGGAUCUGAGCAAGCCACCAUCUCACCUGGCAAAAUACCAGGGGUGUGAAGGUUGGAGGGAGCUUUUAGCAUUAGGCUUUGCUCAUGGAGCAGAGCUCAGCCCUUGCUGCUCUUCAUCCCUGGGUGUGUGGAGCUGCGGGAGAGCAGCCAUCCUGACAGUGCUGUGCUGGGUGCCCAGAGGACUGUGAGUCUGCCCGGGCCAGGCAGCCCUGCUGCUGUUUUAUUGAACCCUCUCUGUUCCUGUAAGAGAAACGUACUGGCUGUAAUUCUUUCCCAUUAAAAUCUCCCCACCCCAUGCACUGUUGAAAAUAAACUCUCUCUU
RNAcentral lists this long non-coding RNA (1137 nucleotides) under Athene cunicularia (burrowing owl). Its description in RNAcentral is "lncRNA (ENSACUG00000012789.1)". Lineage: Eukaryota; Metazoa; Chordata; Aves; Strigiformes; Strigidae. The record is from RNAcentral.